This 629-nucleotide long non-coding RNA is filed under the name Elaeis guineensis (African oil palm). RNAcentral describes it as "long non-coding RNA (EGUI_LNC010481)". Lineage: Eukaryota; Viridiplantae; Streptophyta; Magnoliopsida; Arecales; Arecaceae. The record is from RNAcentral.
AGAAUGCGUACAACCAUUCUUGCACUUGAUUCAAAUGCUAGUGGAAACCACUAGCUUCCCCUCUCAUUUUCAUUAGGACCAUUUCAUUAUGAGAGUAUCUGAAUCCAUCCUGCUUUGUGACGCCAUAUACUGUCAUUGGUUGACACCAGAUUCACCACCUACUGAUGGUGUGCAAGCGAAAGGCUGCAGGAGGUGCAUGUGGUCAUUCUGAUCCAUAUCUACAAGUUGAUAGAAAGGAUGAUUUGGCUGCAAAUGAGAUUCUCCAUCAGUACUAAUGGGGAGCAUCAUGUCCAAUUGCUUGUUUUUUCGGUGUUGUUGAUGGACAACAUGUUGGAAAAGUUUAGGUAAAGAUACCAAUCCAAGAAGUGUAGGUAAAGAAUAACUAUGGUGGAGAAUGGUACCUAUGGUGCACAUCAGGGAAUGCCUUCCAUUAACUCGUCAUGGAUUCCAGUGGAACUCUGUUUGUACUAAAGCUCGGAUUCUCCUGGACAGAAGUUUCAUACCUUUAUUUCGUGGCUUGUUAGUUGUUACGUUGAGUUUCACACAAAGGGAGAAGUAUUUACCUUGUUACUUUGGGUUUCACACAAAGGGAGAGGUAUUUACCUUGAUGUCAUCUUUUGAUGAUUGCU